Molecule: long non-coding RNA, 690 nt
Filed under: Mytilus galloprovincialis (Mediterranean mussel)
Lineage: Eukaryota; Metazoa; Mollusca; Bivalvia; Mytilida; Mytilidae
Source: RNAcentral
GUGUGAUAAGGCGUAUCUGGCCGUUCCAAGAUCAAAAGAGCUGAUGUAACUGCCUCUGGAGAUGGCAUCAAUAGUGGCGAUGUGUGAGGUGGUGUUGUCCGGAGCAACUCGGGAUCGUCUAGGUCGAAUCCCUCGUCAUAGUCGAUCCGGCAUCGCUUGCCUCUGUCUUUGGUUGGCUGGAGGUAGUAUUGGCGAUGGCAUGCCUUCCUGGGGUUGUACGGACUGAUGACUGUGUCCGUCUUGAUGCAAAUGCCCUCAGGUUCCCCUUGAUACUUUGUGGGUACUAUCUCCCUGCUUCCAUCUCGUGCUGUUGUGGCUUCUGUUUGUUGGUUCUGGUCUACCUUGGUGGUGUGUGGUAAGACCUCAGCCGAUGUUGCAGCAGUGCUUUUGGCCUGCACCCACUGGUUGUAACGCUUGGCGUCCCUUCUCCUGGUGGAUGGUGGCUUACUUUUCAGGGCCGGCUUGGCUUUACUGGAGUGUGCCUCUGGUUCCUUAGCCUUUGUCUUGGUCCACGUCAGCUGUACUGACACCUGGUCAGAACUUGCGGAAAACUUCCAGGCAGGUUCUUUUCCAGUUAGCUUCAUGGCUGCUAGUAAUGCAUUCAAUUCAUCUGGUAUUUCCAUUAUGAUUGUCCAAAAAGUUAGUGAGUUGUGUUCAGCUGUGUUCAGUACGAAUACUUCAACGCGAAUG